UACAGAGGGUGCAAGCGUUAUUCGGAAUUAUUGGGCGUAAAGAGCACGUAGGCGGUCUCGUAAGUCUGGUGUGAAAUCCCUGGACUCAAUCCAGGAAGUGCAUUGGAUACUGCGAGACUAGAGGAUAGGAGAGGAGAGCGGAAUUCCUGGUGUAGAGGUGAAAUUCGUAGAUAUCAGGAGGAACAACAGGAGCGAAGGCGGCUCUCUGGACUAUAUCUGACGCUGAGGUGCGAAAGCGUGGGGAGCAAACAGG
This 253-nucleotide ribosomal RNA is filed under the name uncultured bacterium. RNAcentral's name for it is "partial 16S ribosomal RNA". It matches the Rfam family "Bacterial small subunit ribosomal RNA", at positions 524 to 776 of the family's 1533-position model. The record is from RNAcentral.